AUGUUCGACUCGGGGGUUCUCGUGCCGUUCAAACUUCACUAUGAGGAGACGAAGGAGCUUUCCUCCGGCGACAUCGUCCACUCCGAGGUCGCCCACGCCGGGGGACACCGCGGGAGGAUUCGAUGCGACCCGCAGGGAAAGAAGAAGGCUGACAAGCAGGGCGAGUACAUCUCGAUCUUUCUCGAACUCAUGAGCAAGUGCAAAGGCGUCAAGGCCAUCUUCGAGGCCUUCGUGGUGGACAAGGACGGCGAGCCGUUUUCUUCCCAUGAAGAGCGGUGCGUGCAGGUUUACCCGCCGGAGGGGUUCGAAGCCUGGGGGUGGCCACAGUUCGCGAAGCGAAGCGAUCUCGAGUCUCAGUACGUGGUGAACGGGUGGGUCACGAUUGUGUGGGGAGUUGUAGUCGUGCGCGAUGACUCCAUAGCCGUGCCGUCCUCUGACAUAGAGAACCAUCUUGGCCGCCUCGUCGACUGCGGCGACGGUUCUGAUGUUUCCUUCGUCGUCGACGGCGAGACGUUUCCGGCGCACCGGGCCGUGCUCGCUGCCCGCUCGUCGGUAUUCAAGGCGGAGCUUUUCGGCUCCAUGGCGGAGUCCACGAUGUCGCGCGUCACAUUGGAAGACAUCGACGCCGCAACGUUUAAAGUAUUUCUUCGGUUCGUCUACACCGACGCCUUGUCCGGAGAUGACGAGCUCGACGACUCGGCUACUGAGAUGUAUGAGCGUCUGCUUGCCGUGGCCGACAGGUACGCCAUGGAUAGGUUAAAGCUCAUUUGCGCCAAAAAGCUGUGGGAUGGUGUGACUGUCGACAACGUUGCUGCAACUUUAUGUUGUGCUGAAACGUACAGCUGCUUGGAGCUGAAAAACAAGUGCAUUGCUUUCUUCGCGGAGGAGAAAAACUUCAGGGAGGCCGUGCUAACAGAUGGUUUCGUGGGGCUGGUUCAGAAGUUCCCAUCUAUUAUUUGUGAGCUUUUUUUUUAG
Molecule: ribosomal RNA, 975 nt
Filed under: Triticum aestivum (bread wheat)
Lineage: Eukaryota; Viridiplantae; Streptophyta; Magnoliopsida; Poales; Poaceae
Description: partial small subunit ribosomal RNA
Source: RNAcentral